Molecule: long non-coding RNA, 153 nt
Organism: Telopea speciosissima
Lineage: Eukaryota; Viridiplantae; Streptophyta; Magnoliopsida; Proteales; Proteaceae
Exons: 5
Source: RefSeq, a predicted model, not a curated record
ACUUAACUGCAAAUUCUCCUUCCUUGCAUCAGAACUGUUUGUGGGCUUCAUAUAAUUGGGCAACAAAUAUGGUGUCUUCAUCAGAGAUUGUUUCUGUGGAGUAACAGCAGCACUAGAUACAUUGGCAGUUGUUAAAUCAAAACCCAUCUUUGU